Molecule: ribosomal RNA, 449 nt
Filed under: uncultured bacterium
Lineage: Bacteria
Description: bacterial SSU rRNA
Rfam family: Bacterial small subunit ribosomal RNA
Source: RNAcentral
UGACAUUACCGAUAGAAAAAGCACCGGCUAACUCCGUGCCAGCAGCCGCGGUAAUACGGAGGGUGCAAGCGUUAAUCGGAAUUACUGGGCGUAAAGCGUGCGUAGGCGGCUGCUUAAGUCAGAUGUGAAAGCCCCGGGCUUAACCUGGGAACGGCAUUUGAUACUGGGCAGCUCGAGUUGAGUAGAGGAGAGGGGAAUUUCCGGUGUAGCGGUGAAAUGCGUAGAGAUCGGAAGGAACACCAGUGGCGAAGGCGCCUCUCUGGACUCAAACUGACGCUGAAGUACUGAAAGCGUGGGUAGCAAACAGGAUUAGAUACCCUGGUAGUCCACGCCGUAAACGAUGUCAACUAGCCGUUGGUCUUAUUCGUAAGAUUCGUGGCGCAGCUAACGCGAUAAGUUGACCGCCUGGGGAGUACGGCCGCAAGGUUAAAACUCAAAUGAAUUGACGG